This 64-nucleotide transfer RNA is filed under the name Athalia icar. RNAcentral describes it as "tRNA-Ser". The record is from RNAcentral. Lineage: Eukaryota; Metazoa; Arthropoda; Insecta; Hymenoptera; Athaliidae.
GAAAUAUAUAAUAAUAUAAAGCUUCUAACUUUAUUAAAAACAAUUAAAUUAUGUUUAUAUUUCU